UAAACGGGACGACCCGUUUACGCGUCAUUUUAUCGGGGACGACCCCA
Molecule: non-coding RNA, 47 nt
Filed under: Serratia marcescens
Lineage: Bacteria; Pseudomonadati; Pseudomonadota; Gammaproteobacteria; Enterobacterales; Yersiniaceae
Also listed under: 2 other names
Description: Guanidine-II sequence
Rfam family: Guanidine-II riboswitch aptamer (mini-ykkC)
About the family: Simpler in structure and has fewer highly conserved nucleotide positions than the ykkC-yxkD leader.
Source: RNAcentral